This 1017-nucleotide ribosomal RNA is filed under the name uncultured organism. RNAcentral's name for it is "bacterial SSU rRNA". It matches the Rfam family "Bacterial small subunit ribosomal RNA", at positions 356 to 1376 of the family's 1533-position model. The record is from RNAcentral.
GAGGAAUAUUGGUCAAUGGGCGCAGGCCUGAACCAGCCAAGUAGCGUGAAGGAUGACUGCCCUAUGGGUUGUAAACUUCUUUUAUAUGGGAAUAAAGUUUUCCACGUGUGGAAUUUUAUAUGUACCAUAUGAAUAAGGAUCGGCUAACUCCGUGCCAGCAGCCGCGGUAAUACGGAGGAUCCGAGCGUUAUCCGGAUUUAUUGGGUUUAAAGGGAGCGUAGGUGGACAGUUAAGUCAGUUGUGAAAGUUUGCGGCUCAACCGUAAAAUUGCAGUUGAUACUGGCUGUCUUGAGUACAGUAGAGGUGGGCGGAAUUCGUGGUGUAGCGGUGAAAUGCUUAGAUAUCACGAAGAACUCCGAUUGCGAAGGCAGCUUGCUGGACUGUAACUGACGCUGAUGCUCGAAAGUGUGGGUAUCAAACAGGAUUAGAUACCCUGGUAGUCCACACAGUAAACGAUGAAUACUCGCUGUUUGCGAUAUACAGUAAGCGGCCAAGCGAAAGCGUUAAGUAUUCCACCUGGGGAGUACGCCGGCAACGGUGAAACUCAAAGGAAUUGACGGGGGCCCGCACAAGCGGAGGAACAUGUGGUUUAAUUCGAUGAUACGCGAGGAACCUUACCCGGGCUUGAAUUGCAACUGAAUGAUGUGGAGACAUGUCAGCCGCAAGGCAGUUGUGAAGGUGCUGCAUGGUUGUCGUCAGCUCGUGCCGUGAGGUGUCGGCUUAAGUGCCAUAACGAGCGCAACCCUUAUCGAUAGUUACCAUCAGGUUAUGCUGGGGACUCUGUCGAGACUGCCGUCGUAAGAUGUGAGGAAGGUGGGGAUGACGUCAAAUCAGCACGGCCCUUACGUCCGGGGCUACACACGUGUUACAAUGGGGGGUACAGAAGGCAGCUACACGGCGACGUGAUGCUAAUCCCGAAAGCCUCUCUCAGUUCGGAUUGGAGUCUGCAACCCGACUCCAUGAAGCUGGAUUCGCUAGUAAUCGCGCAUCAGCCACGGCGCGGUGAAUACGUUCCCG